RNAcentral lists this ribosomal RNA (484 nucleotides) under uncultured bacterium. RNAcentral describes it as "partial 16S ribosomal RNA". It matches the Rfam family "Bacterial small subunit ribosomal RNA", at positions 30 to 507 of the family's 1533-position model. The record is from RNAcentral.
AUUGAACGCUGGCGGCAGGCCUAACACAUGCAAGUCGAGCGGAUGAAGGGAGCUUGCUCCUGGAUUCAGCGGCGGACGGGCGAGUAAUGCCUAGGAAUCUGCCUGGUAGUGGGGGAUAACGUCCGGAAACGGGCGCUAAUACCGCAUACGUCCUGAGGGAGAAAGUGGGGGAUCUUCGGACCUCACGCUAUCAGAUGAGCCUAGGUCGGAUUAGCUAGUUGGUGGGGUAAAGGCCUACCAAGGCGACGAUCCGUAACUGGUCUGAGAGGAUGAUCAGUCACACUGGAACUGAGACACGGUCCAGACUCCUACGGGAGGCAGCAGUAGGGAAUAUUGGACAAUGGGCGAAAGCCUGAUCCAGCCAUGCCGCGUGUGUGAAGAAGGUCUUCGGAUUGUAAAGCACUUUAAGUUGGGAGGAAGGGCAGUAAGUUAAUACCUUGCUGUUUUGACGUUACCAACAGAAUAAGCACCGGCUAACUUCGUG